GGUGGGGGGGAUGGUGAAGUUGUUUCUUCCCUUCUCUGGUUCCUUUCUUCCUUCGCUUCUUCGUUCCCCGAUGCUCUUUGAUGAAAUCUGUUGUUCGGGAUUUUCUGCAAUUUUGUUUAUCAUUCUCCACGUCUUUCGUUUAAUUCGAUGAAGGAGGGUGUCCCAAAGGGUGAAAUGAUCUCUAUUAAAUCUUUCUAAUCUAUUUUCUGCUCAGCAUGUUCUUCUUUUGACCCCAGUCCGUUCUUAAGGUCCCUUAUUGUUUCUGAAACGAUUGUGGUUCGUGCUGUCGGCUUUGACCAUCUCGUUUGCUGUAGAUGAGGAAUAUAGGUGAUUUUGGUCCGUCAUUUGUAGUCGGUUCAUGAUCUUUACGAGGGGAAUUUGAUCUAAUCACCUGGAAUUCUGAUUUUAGGCAGAGUAAUGGGUAUGGUUGAUAUGCAAGCGGAUGAUUAUGAGGCUUCAAUUAGGCUGCUGGUUUUGGUUUUUAUGGAUUUUUAUCACAUGUGGAUAAUUUUGAAGCGCGCAGCACUGCAUCGUUCUGUCAGCACUGCAUCGUUCUGUAGGAUCUGACAUUCUGCUGUAGCUCUGGUUCAUCAAGCAAUCUACUUCCCUACAGCCCUAUGACUUUUUGAACCAGCUUCUAUUGUGAAAUCUAGCACGGUCGUUCAUAGCAACUGUUAAUUGGGAUUGUUAUCUGUGCCUUCCAUAAUUUUGCUGGAUAGUCUGAUGCGUUCCAAGAGAAGUUUUUUCUUGGAUAAAUGGGGUCACUUUGAGGUUAUAUUUGGAAUUUGUAAGUUCACAAAGAAAAAUCUUAAUGGAGUGUUCUAUCUUGUUAGCUUAAGCAUCUUAUUAAGGUGGAAGCCAACUCUUCUUCAAGGCUUGAGUGUGUAUUGGUGAAUAGUCUGACAAUCUAUUUUGAUCCAAUCAGCAGUCUUGAGGACUAUUUCAUCUGCCCUCGGAUUACAGUUCCCUUGUUGGAAUCUAGCUACUUUAUUUACUGGGGAUAAUUGGCAUUGGAGAAAUUGAUGUAUUAUGAAGUAAUUGUUAUCUGAGGCUUCUCUAUAUUGGUUGUCGGGAAGUAGAACUUCUACAAAUUGUGUCGCUUUCAUAUUCGUUCCGCAUAUAUUAAGUACCUCUGCUUGAUUUUUCAGGUCGCAUGUUCUGCGACAAGGUGAUGGUGGAGCUAACCGUUCUUCAUUUGCUGCAAUAACUUUUCUCUCUCUUUUUUCUCUUUUUUCUAUUCCUUUGGGUUUUCUGACGUGUCCUUUUUCCUUUACAACAUCACUUAAAGAGCCUUAUAGUUUUGGCUUCUUAUUUUCCAUAUGUUAUGUCGUACAUAUAGUUAAAGAAGACUGAACUCAUAGCUUGAAUUGUCUCAGUAGUUGGGAACUUGGGAUAUCAGAGCAUUUAGUUAUGAUUUAAUUUUUAUUAACCUUUUCUAACUGAAUUUGAGAUAUAACUUCUACCUUUCAAAAAUUGUUAUUUAAUUUAGGGAAGUUUUGUAGGGGCUAGCUGGUUGAUUGUCUGUGGUUGUUGAAUGCACCUGUCUUUAUUAUGGUUAGCACAAGACUCGUGUGGACAAGGGGACCUUCAUAUUUAUUUUUUCAAUCAUACCUGGCUGCUGCUUGUUCGAAGUAGAUACAAUUUUGUUGACGCCAUUUACCUUUUUCUCUAUUUUCCCUUAUCUCAGCUUUGUUUUAAUUAUAUUGAUGGUUUUUGCCACGCUUUCAGUUUGAACUUGGGAAAAUAAUUAUUAGCUUGUCUUGUGACAUGUCAUUGGUUAUCUUGUAUUUUCUUCCCAGGUCUUUUUUUUUUUUUUUUUUUUCGGUAUUGAAAUAGUCUUGUCUAGAUUUAGUACAACAUGUUACAAAAGAUUGUCUUGCUUUUCCAAGACUUCUGAUCCUCCCAAUGGAGGUUAUUCUCAGAAGAAGGUGGUACAUUAAAAGGUCUGAAGCUGCUUAUUGGUUUGUUGUGGUAUUGAUAUUUUACCUUGCACGAUGAAGCUGAUCACACAUCUCAUAAAGAACACAAUCUUGGGCACGAAGCAAGCUUCUUCAUGUGGAAUAUGGUGUUAGUAUUUUCCUUGGCUGAAGGUUUCACCUGCUUGAUUACUUGCCAACUAUUAAUGAUCAUUAUAGGUUCAAUAAUUCCUACUUUUGAUGGGGGAUGUUACAUUAAAGAUGAAAUUAGAUGCUUGAUUGCUGAUUUCAUGUUUUCAACUGAGUGAUUCCUCACUGACAUUGUGUCAAAGUAGAGCUGGUAAUUUUUCUAUUCAUGAGGAGGCUUCUUAACAUUGGUCAAGACUGUCAUAUAAAGAAUGCAGAUCUCAGUUGGUUAAGGACUAGUUCUCCUGUGGCAAUCAAUGAAAUCCUGAUUCAAGUUUCAGACUAUUGAUUCCUUAUUCAAGCACGGAGCUCAUGUUCUAUUUUAGGGUAAAGAAUGUGUACUUUUGAUGGCUAAGCAAUCAAUCCAUCAAGAAAGGGAUCACUUUUACCCUUAUAACCGUUUUGGCCUAUGGUUUUGGGCCUAGCAUCUCAUCCCUCCCCCAGGUGGGACACUAUAGUUUCAGAGAAAGCUUCUUAUCAUUGAUCAAGACUGUCAUAUAAAGAAACGCAGAUCUCAGUUUUUUAAGACUACUUCUCCUUCAGCAAUCAAUUAAAUCCUGAUUCAAGUUUUAGAUGAUUGAUUUUUUUUCAAGCACACAGAGCUCAUGUUCUAUUGUAGGGUAAAGAACGUGGACUUUUGAUGGCUAAGCAAUCAAUCCAUCAAGAAAGAGAUCACUUUUUACCCUUCCAACCAUUUUGCAUAUGUUUUUGGACCUAGCAUCUUACCCUCGCCCAGGUGAGGUUCAAGCUUGCUGCAAUCUUAGAAUCAAGAAAAGCAGUUUGGCGUCCAUCUAUGUCAUGUUUUAAGGGGCAUUGCAAUCUAACCAGUCAUCAGUGUAUCCCCACCAUAGGUUGUGCAUCUAUUUUUCAUCUUGGAGGUGGUGCAAGCUUUUAUUUACAUCAAAUCCUGCGCCUUGUGGAUCAUUUAUCACAUCCAAUUUAUGCUCUUCAAAUUAGAAUAUAAUCACUUCAUUCAUUAGAGCAUUGUUAUCUUUGCAUGUAGCAAAUCUGUCAGCAAUAGGAGAAGAUGUUGCACUAUUCAUCGUUUGUUUUAUUUAAGGGUCUUUGUUUGGUUCCUAAAAAGUUACAAUUCUGCACCGUAUGGAACAUUUUUGGCAAGCCUAUUUCACCUUUCACUUUUUCAGGUGUUCGGUUUGCACAGAGUUCAGAAUGGUUUAAAAAAUUAAAACUGUCCUUUUUGUUAGUUUAGUAUCAAAUUCAUGGUGUCAACUGUUAGCAGUUAGGUUUGAUUCUGCAUUGGCAUUGAAAUUGAGUUUAUGGUUAUUUUGAGAUUCAAUUUCUUUUCGUCUAGGUUUUGAUGUUUGUUCUUGUAAGUUGAGCAGGCUUAGUGCAAUGGUGUGUGCUUGUUGGAUUAUGAUUGACAGGAUUAAAGUGGACUAGAAUGGAUUUUAAAUUCAGUUAGUUUGUGAAUUAGCUGAGCGCUGCUCAGUUCACCUUUCCUUCUAUUUUUUUUAUCUUUUCUAGUUCUCCUUCGUUUCCUCUUUACUUGUUGGAAGCAUUUAUAAUUUUGCUGCUCGGUUCACCUUUCUUUUUCCUUUCUGUGGUUUAUCUUCCCUUCUCAUUCUCCCGUUUGAUCAACUUUAAUUCUUUCCCUGGUUUAUACCUGCAAACGUCAUUGAGUUCCUCAUUGCUCUCUCUUAUUUGAGGUCAUCUUGGGUUUUUUUUCAGAGUUUUUACUUUUGGUUCACUAAGAUUACCAUAUCUAGAUUUGAUACAGGAGGCAUACAAAUGGGUUAUCGUCCUGUUGAAGUUAUGUUUAACACGGAAAUUAGUUUUGGUUUGUCAUUUGGAAGCUCUGCUUAACUUUAGUCAGUGGUUGUAGAUGAAGAAUGAAAUCUCAGUUGGACAGAAAAGUCAAUCCAUCUUAUGGUGUUGGGAUGUUACUUCUCCCCAAGGAUGCAGCUUUCUGAUGGUGGUGUCACAUUAAGUUUGGAAAUGGACACUUCUUUGAGUUUGAAAACACAAAAUUAUCUUAUUGGUUUUCUGCAUGAUUCCUCACUCAUGUAGCGUCUGCAUAGUGCUGAUAUUUCUUCGGUUGCAAAGGGAAGCUUCCUAGCUUUGAUAAUGACUGGUAAAUGAAAUUGCAAUCUCAGUUAGGCACGAAUGAUUUCCUCUUAGCAGUCUAUGCAGUUUGGUGCCUCUGGGGAAUUUAGUUUUGUAACAACUGUGGGUUGUUGCACCUAAAGUAUUAUGGAGAAGAUGCUAAAAGCUAAUUUAGCUAGGUUUUUUUUUCCUCUUUUACAGUCUUCCUACAAACUCUGCUGUCUGGUAGUUGGUUAAGGUGGCAUUAGAAGUGGGGAAUGCUACUAUUGCAUUAGAUGGUGGCAAAGAGCCAGUUGUUUGAGACGUGCACUUCUUUCUCCUUUACUGUGAAUGUUAAGUUUGAAAAGCUGUUGUCCCUCGUGAAUGGGAAAUUCUUCUUUUGUUGAUUAAUGCUACAAAAUAAAGUUGACAAUC
This is a long non-coding RNA of Nymphaea colorata (pocket water lily), 4580 nucleotides long. RefSeq lists it as uncharacterized. The record is from RefSeq and is a predicted model, not a curated record. The transcript is spliced from 2 exons. NCBI's taxonomy places the organism in Eukaryota, Viridiplantae, Streptophyta, Magnoliopsida, Nymphaeales, Nymphaeaceae.